GUAAUCCCUGUCCAACACAGUCGCAGCUGUCUCCCUGUCCAACACUGUCUCUCAGCUGUAUCCCUGUCCAACACUGUCUCAGCUGUAUCCCUGUCCAACACUGUCUCUCAGCUGUAUCUCUGUCCAACACUGUCUCCCUGUCCAACACUGUCUCCCUGUCCAACACUGUAUCCCUGUCCAACACUGUCUCCCUGUCCAACACUGUAUCCCUGUCCAACACUGUAUCCCUGUCCAACACUGUCUCAGCUGUAUCCCUGUCCAACACUGUAUCCCUGUCCAACACUGUCUCAGCUGUAUCCCUGUCCAACACUGUAUCCCUGUCCAACACUGUCUCAGCUGUAUCCCUGUCCAACACUGUCUCAGCUGUCUCACUGUCCAACACUGUCUCUCAGCUGUCUCCCUGUCCAACACUGUCUCAUCUGUAUCCCUGUCCAACACUGUCUCAGCUGUAUCCCUGUCCAACACUGUCUCAUCUGUAUCCCUGUCCAACACUGUCUCAGCUGUAUCCCUGUCCAACACUGUCUCAGCUGUCUCCCUGUCCAACACUGUCUCAGCUGUAUCCCUGUCCAACACCGUCUCCCUGUCCAACACUGUCUCAGCUGUCUCCCUGUCCAACACUGUCUCAGCUGUAUCCCUGUCCAACACUGUAUCCCUGUCCAACACAGUCCACACACACUCUCACCACACACACACACACACACACAACCACACACACACAACCACACACACACCCACACACACACACAACCACACACACACCCACACACACACACACACACACACACACACACACACACACACACACACACACACACACACACACACACACACACACACACACACAACCACACACACAACCACACACACACACACAACCACACACACACACACACACACACACACAUACACACCACACACACACACACUACACACACACACACACACUCAUAUCAUCAUCUCUCUCACCACAUCUCCUCUACUCUGAACAGAGAUGAUGUGUUGUGUUCUCACAGCAGUGUGUAG
RNAcentral lists this long non-coding RNA (1023 nucleotides) under Oncorhynchus kisutch (coho salmon). RNAcentral's name for it is "lncRNA (ENSOKIG00005049994.1)". The record is from RNAcentral. Lineage: Eukaryota; Metazoa; Chordata; Actinopteri; Salmoniformes; Salmonidae.